CAUACACACACAUACAAACAUAUAAUUUGACACAGUUAUAACGUCCAACCGAGCGUCCAUCGUCGUUCGAUGGUUUUAAAAAUUAGAAUUUUAGUGAUACAUGGGUGAAUCAGAAUCGGAUCGGUGCGGCACGAUGCGACGGUUUAUGCGUCGCGGUUCCUCUCCGCAAUCGGCCGGCACUGCUGUCCACAGCCUCUACGCCGUUAGACGACGCUUCUCGCAGAUCGAUUCCAGCGAAAUUAGUGGAAGGACGGACGCGAUUUUUCGCUUAUUUUCGUUUCCUAUGUACGUAGUCGUUAAUCGUAUCUAUUUAAAAUUCUCACGCGUUAUGAAGGAGGAAAUACGUUCGCCGAUGAGGAUUGUAUAAAUCGAAGAGUCACGUUGAAGUGCUUUUUCCUUUAAGGGAUUUCUUCGAUCAAGGACGAAUUCGAAGAUAACACCUUUCGAGGACCGUCGAUCGGUUUACAAGAACAAGCAUCUGUAAAAGAAAUAUAAUUGUGAGAAAAAGAAAGGUAGAGAGAAAGAGAGAAAGAGAGAAAGAGAGAGAGAGAGAAAGAGAGAGAAAAUGAUGCAUUUAAAUCUUUAAACGAUUAAUUAAAAUUUUUUAAAUUUAAUUGUAAUAUAUAUGAUUAUUGAAAUUUAUCAGAUUAGGUCAAAGUUCUUUUAAGAUUCGUCUAUUUAUCUCGGGAAUUGUUGAUAAUAAACGAAAAAAGAGAGAAAGAGAAAGAGAAAGAAAGGUUCGAAAAAAAAUUUGAUUAUUUUAACUUAUAUAUGUUACGACGAAUUAUGUAGCUAUCGGAAAAGGGAACGUGUUUAUUUAAUAACAUCGAAUCGAUUUACGUGCCUUUCGAAGAAGAAAAAUACUUGAUGGUGAUUCAUUUUGAUAAAUUCCUUAAGGCUCUUUGAUAUGUGGACCAACUGGUUCGGUGCAGGGAGAAGAAACAAAAUUUAUCCGAAGAACGACGAGGGCGUUAACGAUAGUGAUACCAUCUUUUAACGCUAUUGAUUAUAUUCAUAAAGUGAGCAUGUCUAGAAGAAAAAUCGGUGGAGAUAAACAAUUUAACAACGUGGAUUACACACAGCUGACUGAAACUGACAAUGGCUUUAUAGAUUCACAGGUAAUCCAGGUUUACACCCAUUAACGCUUAACCAUCCCCUCUAUAGUUUGUGAAUCCACCGGUGAAAAUACCAUGGAAAGCCAUCAUGCUAGCUGCUCUUUUAUUUGUGGGAGGAACUGUUUUGCUUAUAACAGGAAGCUUGAUCAUCAGCGGGCACAUUGAUUGCAAAUAUUCUGAUCGAAUAUGGCCUGUGAUUAUUCUAGGAGCAUUGAUGUUUAUACCUGGAGCUUACCAUAUGAGAGUUGCUAUUUUAGCUUAU
Vespa crabro (European hornet) is the source of this 1377-nucleotide RNA transcript. It is a transcript of the gene named transmembrane protein 230, with no coding region annotated. Lineage: Eukaryota; Metazoa; Arthropoda; Insecta; Hymenoptera; Vespidae. The record is from RefSeq and is a predicted model, not a curated record. The transcript is spliced from 6 exons.